UUCUGCAGGUCUUCCAAGGGACUGCCUAACCGGGCAGUCCUAGACGGCGGAGCCCCGCGCACAAAGCGGACACUUCUCGGAGGCUGGCGCGGAGACCAUGCCAUCUUGAGAAACAGAGCUGCCUGAGACUUGGAUCCUGGCUUCUGACACAAACCAGGACCCUGCAGUCACUGGGGACAGAGAACUGCUAUCACAGCUUCAGACCAACAAACAACAAGAAUCCAGACUUCCCGGCAGAUUUCUAUUAUCAGCAACCUUCAGAGGAAGUACUUCUAGAAAAACAUGUUAAGAUGAGAAUGAGAAUGCAGCACCACAGAUGGGCUCUGAGAAGACUCUGUCAACGAAGAACCAACUUCACAGCCACUACUCACAGCAACUCUGGCUUUAUGUCCAGAACUUGGACCUAAGUCUUCCACUGGUAUGCUGGGCAAAAACAACCGAGAUUUAUUAUUUCAAAGUAGGAAUCACAUUAGAUACUAAUAACCUCAGAAACAUCAAUAUAUGACAAAUAAAAUGUGA
This is a long non-coding RNA of Eptesicus fuscus (big brown bat), 519 nucleotides long. RefSeq lists it as uncharacterized. The record is from RefSeq and is a predicted model, not a curated record. The transcript has 3 exons. Lineage: Eukaryota; Metazoa; Chordata; Mammalia; Chiroptera; Vespertilionidae.